RNAcentral lists this transfer RNA (73 nucleotides) under Paraburkholderia silvatlantica. Its description in RNAcentral is "tRNA-Lys". It matches the Rfam family "tRNA". Rfam says of the family: Transfer RNA (tRNA) molecules are approximately 80 nucleotides in length. Their secondary structure includes four short double-helical elements and three loops (D, anti-codon, and T loops). RNAcentral also lists the same sequence under 1 other name. The record is from RNAcentral. Lineage: Bacteria; Pseudomonadati; Pseudomonadota; Betaproteobacteria; Burkholderiales; Burkholderiaceae.
GGGUCGUUAGCUCAGCGGGUAGAGCAGCGGACUUUUAAUCCGUUGGUCACUGGUUCGAAUCCAGUACGGCCCA